RNAcentral lists this ribosomal RNA (751 nucleotides) under Hylophorbus sp. 'Mt. Simpson'. RNAcentral describes it as "partial small subunit ribosomal RNA". The stretch from base 1 to 506 matches the Rfam family "Bacterial small subunit ribosomal RNA", at positions 796 to 1533 of the family's 1533-position model. Lineage: Eukaryota; Metazoa; Chordata; Amphibia; Anura; Microhylidae. The record is from RNAcentral.
CUAGCUGUAAAACAUUAACCCACAUCCCAACUCGCCAGGGAAUUACGAGCUCAAGCUUAAAACCCAAAGGACUUGACGGUUUCCCACCCCCCUAGAGGAGCCUGUUCUAUAAUCGAUUUUCCCCGAUCAACCUCACCACCUCUUGAACAUACAGCCUGUAUACCUCCGUCGCAAGCUUACCCUAUGAAAGCAUAUUUAGUGAGCUUAAAGAUUUUACACCCAUACGUCAGGUCAAGGUGCAGCCCAUGAGCUGGAAAGAAAUGGGCUACAAUUUCUACUUUAGAACAAACGAAAGACUGCAUGAAACACAGUCAUUGAAGGCGGAUUUAGUAGUAAAAAGAAAAUAGAGAGUUCUUUUUAAUCGGGCACUAGGAUGCGUACACACCGCCCGUCACCCUCUUCAACCAAUAAAUUUUUUUAGCGUUUAUAACCUCACAUAUUUUUACAGAAGAGGCAAGUCGUAACAUGGUAAGCGUACUGGAAAGUGCGCUUGGAACAAAAUGUAGCUUAAUAAAAGUAUCUUGCUUACACCAAGAACAUGCCUGUAAAAAUCUGACCAUUUUGAGCCUAAAGCCCAGCCCUAUUUUACCAAAUGCAACACCAACCAACAAAGAACCAAACUAAAACAUUUUCUUAACCAAGUAAAGGCGAUUAAAAAGUUUCUAGGAGCCUCAACACCAGUACCGCAAGGGAAAACUGAAAUAAAAUUGAAAUAAAUUUAAAGCAUAUUAAAGUAGAAAUUAAACCCCGU